UCUGCAGUUUGACAUUUAGGAUCAGAUGUGUGAGAGACGAGACAGAAUGAGACAUGCUGUCCUGCAGGAGUCAGAGGAGGAGGUGAUGAAGACGAGGAUGGAGCUUCAUCCUGACCUUAUGUCUGCUGUUUGACUAACACAUGAUCCUCAGGAUGAUUUACAGUGUGUGUGUGUGUGUGUGUGUGUGUGUUUCAGAUAACAGGGUCUAAAUAUAAGUCCUGAGGGAUUCAGUGACAACAGCCAACAGCUCCUGUAGCCCCGCCCACUCUGACCUGCUGCCAGUCACUGUGACUGUUUCAACAGUGACACUGCUUUGACAAACUGAGCCUUUAAACGUCAUCACGGUCUCUGAUGGAAGACAUGAAACACCAGAGAGCGUCAGUUAGUCUGAAACCACAGAAGAAGAAAGUUCCCCUGCAGACAGACGAGGAGCGCUCUGACAUGUUUGUUUGUUGACUUGUUGUUGUUUACUCCAGUCUGUGUGUGUUUCAGUAUUCAGAUCAGAUCUGAGGUCAGUUCACAGACGCUGGCAGUCAAACUGUUUCCUGACUGACUUCUUCACACUCUCACAGAGACACUGAGGGACUCAAACAUGUCAUUAAAACAAUCUGCAGUUAUAUUUCAUGUUCAUAUAAAUACAUAGAUUCACUCAGACUGAUGACAGUAUGAAUGUCUUCACUCUGCUGACUCAUGACGACGUCAUUUAAUGUUUACAUUCUUUAUUUUAACACGUCGUCAUUUUCUGAAUCUUUUUAAGGAGUUACUGAACCUGAGAAAUUUAGAGUUUGAUUUAAGUACAGAAAUAAAUCAGUUCAAAUGAUAAACAUUCAAAUCAUUCAGUCAUUGAUCAUCGUUAAUCUCUGAAAACAUCAAACAUGAUAAACAUGUAAAGAAUAAAGUCAUGAAACAUAUUAACUUCAGUUCUGUUAAAUAAGUUCUUGUUGUAGUUCAUGUUAAAUGACCUGAUUAUUGAUUAUAGAUUAAAAGUGUGAACCAGAAACUGCAGCUGAACAUGUCCUGCAGUAAAAGUAAUCAGAGUACAAGUAAUCAGAGUAAUCAUACUGCGUUCAGUCAGUGAAGGAGGACGAAGCUGAACUCUGUGUCCACCAACAGAAACUCUAAUGAGG
Molecule: long non-coding RNA, 1127 nt
Organism: Epinephelus fuscoguttatus (brown-marbled grouper)
Lineage: Eukaryota; Metazoa; Chordata; Actinopteri; Perciformes; Serranidae
Exons: 3
Source: RefSeq, a predicted model, not a curated record